Molecule: ribosomal RNA, 158 nt
Filed under: uncultured bacterium
Lineage: Bacteria
Description: partial 16S ribosomal RNA
Rfam family: Bacterial small subunit ribosomal RNA
Source: RNAcentral
CGCCCUUCCUACGGGAGGCAGCAGUGGGGAAUUUUGGACAAUGGGCGCAAGCCUGAUCCAGCAAUGCCGCGUGAGUGAAGAAGGCCUUCGGGUUGUAAAGCUCUUUCAGUCGAGAAGAAAAGGCUGCCAGUGAAUAACUGUAGUUAUGACCNGNUCNC